Molecule: long non-coding RNA, 978 nt
Organism: Pleuronectes platessa (European plaice)
Lineage: Eukaryota; Metazoa; Chordata; Actinopteri; Pleuronectiformes; Pleuronectidae
Exons: 4
Source: RefSeq, a predicted model, not a curated record
CAUCCUGUCAUUUUAAUUUGUUAAAUUCAGUCCCAUCAGUGUAUUUUCUGUUUCCUGUUUUAUUUUGUAGUAUCUGUCCCUUGUGUAUGUUUCGGUCUUUACUUCCUGUGGUUGAUUGUCGUGCCCAAUCCUCAUGUGUUUCACCUGUGCGUAAUUCCCCCCCCCCUUUCCUCUGUAUUUAAGCCUCUGUGUUUCCCUUUGUCCUCGUCGGUUUGUACUCGUUGUUUUCUACCUGUUUCCACACGGGUCAGAUAAGGUUUGUUUGUUUGUUCCUGCUGUCUCGACCAGCUUCCUCGUUCCUUGUUCUCCGUGCGCCUUGACGCCAGAGUUACUUGUGUUAGUGUUCCUGUUUGUUUUUGUCUUGUUUAAAGACUCUUUUUAUAUUAAAUACCUUUUUGUUUGUUACCUCUGCAUCCUGGGUCCAUCUCCUUCCACAAACCGUAACACUCUCGGUCUCUUCACAGCUCUGAUGAAAAUGGCCGGCGGAGCGAGGCCUGAUUCCCGCACACAAGGACGCAGUCACUGCACAUUACGCAGAGACUCGCUGAAAGUCCACAUUUGCAAUGCGGGAAAACGACGCCAUUGUACCUGCCUGUACUAUGACUUACUAAGACCCACUAUGAGCCAGUAGGACGGAGCUUCCAGUUCAUCCAUACGGACCUUGCAUCAGCAUUGAGGAGUUCAGGAGUCGGCAGAGAAGAAAGAGGAAAAGCUGAUUGAAGCGGGACAGAUGACAUGGAUCCAUCCUUCCACAGCCAGGAGCUCACCGACCUGUGUGCCACACUUCAAAUAAGACUAGAGGCUACACUGGAUCUCACAGUUGCACACCACAGACGUCUACACACCACAGACGUCUACACACUGGGGCAGAUUCGGACAGAGUCCCACAAAGAACAUAUGACCCAGAGGCUGCAAAGAGACAUUUCAAGCUUCACCUGAGUUUUUCACUGGCUAGGCUAGUUGUGUUUGUACAAUAUU